Chelonia mydas (Green sea turtle) is the source of this 3179-nucleotide long non-coding RNA. RefSeq lists it as uncharacterized. NCBI's taxonomy places the organism in Eukaryota, Metazoa, Chordata, Testudines, Cheloniidae. The record is from RefSeq and is a predicted model, not a curated record. The transcript is spliced from 4 exons.
UCCCUAUAGGCACUCAAAGCAGCCUCACUGCUGGGAGUCCUUCCAUACUAUACCAUACUCUGAUGUCUUCCACUACACCUAGGCUCCUAGUUGCUCCUCUUCUGUACCUCUGCCAGGACAGACACUCCAGCUGCUUCAGCCAGAAAGGAACUCCAGUCUUCUCAGCAGAAACCCCCACAGCCUCUCUUCUGGAAGAUCUGGGGGAGCAUCCCUCUGUUCCCCUGGCCUUCUCCCUGUUCCCCUCAGUCCAGCUCAUGGUUAAUGACUCCCACCAUUCAAGACCCAGAUCACAGUGAACUUCCUUCCAGCAGAGGCGGGAAAAGUGUGACUUCCUUUAGAGCUAAUCAGGGCCUCGUUGCUUUGCCUGAGAACAGAAUGGAUUACCUUGGGCUACUACAGCUACAAGUACAUUUAACUACCAUCUGUAUAAUUAUUAUGACUCACAUAGUGGCCCUGCUUUGGUGGCAUUCUAGAAUCGCUGAGCCUUGACCCUUGGUUAAACGGUCUAUCCUUUUUCAGAUAAGAUUUGUCAAAAAGGAUUUGAUUGCACUGCAUGAACUCUGUUGGCCAGAUUGUGAUCUCAUUUCCACUGGUGUGACUCCAGAAGAACUUCUCAAUGCUCAUAAUACCAUUACCACCUCCUCCUCCCCAUCCACGUUUGUUUCAUCCAUCUGUUGUGUCUUGUCAUUUACCAAGAUUGUCAGCUCUUUGGGACAGUGACUGUCUUUUUACUAGAUUUGUACAAUGUCUAGCACAAUGAGGCCCCAAUUCCUGAUUGAGGGCUCUAGGCACUACUGCAAUACAAAUAGAUAAUUAAUAAUUUGUAUAAUGGAAUUACUCUAGAUUUGCUUAUGGUCAAUGAGAUCUGAUCCUAUCACUAAUUGUUCUAUUCAGCUUCAGUUGUUUCUUUGGUACCUUGCACACACAGUGACAUAACAGAUAAUACAUUUAUUUCUUAGAUUGAUGUAGAUUUGCUAGGGGAACACAUAGACCAGUAGUAAUUAAACUUGCAAAUUUUUGGUGUUUUGUGUUUGAUUUAAAUUGGUUGAUGCCACUCUAAAUAUUAUGAAACAUUAGUAUAUUCAUUUGUUCAAUAGAUCAGAGUUGAAUAUUUUCAUUUCUUUAAGCAAUAAAAUUGCGCAGUAGAAAACUAAUUUGAUACAAUUUCCAGAUGAACUGAAAAAUAAUGUCUCAAUAAUCCACGCAUUUCAGCCUGUGAAAAAUAUCUUGCACUAAGAACAGCAUGUUCUGGUCCUUGCUGUGCCUCAUCCAGUCUGGACAAAGGUCUAAAUGAGUUUGUGAGUAGUGUGAAAAAAAAUCACCGAUUGUCUGACUAGCUGUCUGGAGGGCAGAAAAAAAUCUUACUUGUCUAGGUUUGAUUGAAACCUGAGUUAACUGCCAAUGCUCACACAAACCGGAAAAACAGGAUUAAAGGCCAAGGAGAUAUUAACAGUAGACAUCUUGUACCUCUGCUUUGACAGAUGAUUUUCACAGUUCUCCGAUUUAGCAGCAGUUCUGACAAAGGCAAAUGAAAUAAUUAAUAACAACUCAGGAUUAAAGAAUCAAAGUCUAAACUCCCAUAAAACUAUCUGAAAGAUUUAUAAUAAUGAUGCAUAGAGAUACAGCAGUUCACUUAGCUAUGAAAUUUUAAGUUGAGUAGAUGUCGGUACAUUAAAAUCCAAUUAAUUUCAUCUCUUUGUACAAUGCUAAGAUCCUUAGUCAUCUAUUUAUUUCACUAACACUGGAGCGUUUUAAAUGUGACCCAGUCCCAUUGUUAUCUGGGAUUAUGGAGCUACCAUAGUGAUUCUAUAGUUAAAGUUGUAAGGAGGGGGACUGAAUCAUUUAAUUAAUGUAGCCUCUUCCUACUUGCAAGCAGAUCAUGACUUCCUCCAAUUUAUUUAUUACUUGAAUUUACUCAAGGAACAUGUGUAUGUAUGUGUGGGGUGGUGGGGGAGGGUUCAUUUCCUUACUGUAUGGACUGAUCACAAACAAUUCAGUAGGACUGUUGACUACUCCAAAUGAGCUAUGUUGGUUAGUUGUGAUUGGUCACAUAAGUCACAUGGUAUUGGGUUUGUGCCCUGACUGGAUAAGGAGUGCAUCUUUUUAGAAUCGGAAUGAGGGCUUGGAUUCUUUCAGAAAGAGGGAGUAAAUAGUUAUUUUAUUUUAAUUUUUUCACCAAUGAUAUUAAAACAUUUUCCUUUGUGGGACACGCAGGCAUUGCUCAAGAUCAAUUAGUCCCAGAAAAAUUAGGUUGUUGUAAGAUUUAUUAACUUGGGAGCAGAGUUUAAAUGUUAUGUUCCUUUGUCACAGUUACACAAAAGCAAUUAUGUGUGGGUAAGAAGUCCUAGUUAUGUAGGGUAUGGUCUCAAAAUCUUGUCUAUCUUAUAUAAUUGCCAUUAUGCAAGAACUUUGUAUAGUGCUCUACAAUGCAUUACAAGGGGUUUAAUUGCCAAACCUGCUCUUUCACUUUCCAGGUUGGAAGGCACAGAGUGAUUCAGAGAUAUCAUACUUAACAGCUGGAAAAGGCUCAACAGUCACCCCUCCUGCUGAUUUUAAAAAAAAGAUGGUAGCAAUAGCACAGAGAUUUAAGAGUGAGGCAGUUCAAGGGAGGAAAAGGCUAUUUAGCUCUUGGCACUGUCAUUUUUUGCUUGUGCAUAGAGUUUAAUCAGAUAUUAACUCUUGGUAAAGAUACCUUAUAUGAUAAAUACAAUGCUCAGGAUUAAAGACAGCGAAAGCAAGAAAGAAUGAGAACAAGGCCAAGUGCCCCUACAGCGUGGGGCACAAAUAUUAGGAACUCCUAAACUUCAGCUGCUGUUAAUGAGGCUCACGACACAUUCAGAUCUCUUCCACAGCUUCCAUCUGAUUUCUGUCAUUAAAAGGCAGGAUCCAUAUGGACUCAUCAGUACUGACUGCAGUGCUGAGCCUUUAGAAAAGAAGGAAAAGAAAAGGUUUGAUCCUUGUAGUCAUUGUAAAUGAAAGGUAAUUUAAUGCAAUCAGGAAAUGCUGAAGGAAGCAGCAAGAAGUCCUCAAACUACAAUGAGCGGGCUAAUAAGAGUCAGUUGAAAGGCCAUUUUAGCCCCUAAGGAUUCUUCUGAGGACAUCAUGCUGGUACUUUGUCUUCUUUAGGGCACAACUGGUUGUGUCUGCUGAGGAAAGUGGCCACAGUUGUAUGGCUGUCU